GAUGAACGCUGGCGGCGUGCUUAACACAUGCAGGUCGAACGAAGCACUUUACAACGAUCCCUUCGGGGUGACAAUUUAGUGACUGAGUGGCGGACGGGUGAGUAACGCGUGGGUAACCUGCCUUAUACUGGGGGAUAACAGUUGGAAACGACUGCUAAUACCGCAUAAGCGCACGAGGUCGCAUGACCUUGUGUGAAAAACUCCGGUGGUAUAAGAUGGACCCGCGUCUGAUUAGCUAGUUGGUGAGGUAAUGGCUCACCAAGGCGACGAUCAGUAGCCGACCUGAGAGGGUGACCGGCCACAUUGGGACUGAGACACGGCCCAAACUCCUACGGGAGGCAGCAGUGGGGAAUAUUGCACAAUGGCGAAAGCCUGAUGCAGCGACGCCGCGUGAGCGAAGAAGUAUUUCGGUAUGUAAAGCUCUAUCAGCAGGGAAGAAAAAAAUGACGGUACCUGACUAAGAAGCUCGGCUAAAUACGUAGCCAGCAGACCG
This 493-nucleotide ribosomal RNA is filed under the name uncultured bacterium. RNAcentral's name for it is "bacterial SSU rRNA". It matches the Rfam family "Bacterial small subunit ribosomal RNA", at positions 28 to 517 of the family's 1533-position model. The record is from RNAcentral.